UUGUCCUCUGAAGGGGCGGCGCAUGGGCGUCCCCCGCCCUGCUAGCCCCAUCUCCUUCCCUGUCCCUGCUUGGGCAGGAGGCCCAAGCCCUGACAACAGAGGUGAGAGAGGCUGUGCCAGCCCUUCUCUGGGCAUGUCUGGGCUCAAGGGCCAGGCUCUGUCUCCAGUCUAGGGCCAAGCUGGGGCCUGUGGCAGGAUCAGAUAGAGGCAAAACAUUGAUGAGGCAGGGGGACGGACAAAAUGGGCCUUCCAGAGGUGCUCUCAGACCCUCCCAGCCACACUACAGCCGCAGAGCCCUCCGCUCACAAACCAUCCUGGCCUCAUCAGAACCUGGGGAGGGUUCCUAGUUGUGCAGGGGGUUCCCUGUACGUACCCCUUUCCCUCCAGCACUGGAGCCCGAGUCUCCCGCUGAGCAGGCACCUCUCCCUCCACGCCCAGGCUUCUUAAACCAACCCCUCCUCCCCUUGUCAUUCAUGAACCAGAUGCAGAAACUGAGGCUCAGAAGCGUUCGGCCACGUGCAUGCAUUGCCUUUCCCAUUGGUGCUCCAUCGCCAGUAAUGGAUAAGUAAUAAGUAAUAAGGUGCAUUGGAAAUUCAAAUUUCAGAAUAAGCUGACUGCCAAGAGGGCCCUCCCCCUGUCGGGAGUCCCUUAGUCCAUGGGAAAUUCACAGAGAAGGAAACAGUCACUUUUCCUGCACCUGAGAAGGUGAUUCUGACUCUCCUGGAACCUGAGAACCACCAGUCUACGGGAACAGAGCCCUGCUUUGGGUCAGGAAGCGAGGAGCGCCUCUUCCCCGCCGCCAUCCCAUCUAGG
Molecule: long non-coding RNA, 813 nt
Filed under: Homo sapiens (human)
Lineage: Eukaryota; Metazoa; Chordata; Mammalia; Primates; Hominidae
Description: HSALNT0290969
Source: RNAcentral